GACGAACCGUGCGAACGUUAUUCGGAAUCACUGGGCUUAAAGGGCGCGUAGGCGGGCGGCCGAGUCCGGGGUGAAAGCCCCCAGCUCAACUGGGGAAGUGCCUCGGAUACCGGCCGUCUCGAGGGGGAUAGGGGCGUGCGGAACUUCCGGUGGAGCGGUGAAAUGCGUAGAUAUCGGAAGGAACACCGGUGGCGAAAGCGGUUCUCUGGGCCUGUGCUGACGCUGAGGAGCGAAAGCGUGGGGAGCGAACAGG
RNAcentral lists this ribosomal RNA (253 nucleotides) under uncultured bacterium. RNAcentral's name for it is "partial 16S ribosomal RNA". It matches the Rfam family "Bacterial small subunit ribosomal RNA", at positions 524 to 776 of the family's 1533-position model. The record is from RNAcentral.